CUGGGGUGACAAAAUGUAACCGUAUUUGGGGGGAGGGCUACCCCAAAGGCAAGUGCAUUCCCAUUCAAGCGGGGGAGAGAUACUUGCAAGGAACUAGAGGAGACUGAUGGGAAGGACUGCAAAGGAGAUAAGUGAUGCAGAAACUGAAGACAUGAAUAUUAUGUCAAUACCCUUGGACUAUUAGAGACGAGAGCAUGUUCACAGAAUAAGAACAGGAAGCUAUGAAACAGGUUAGAGAAGUAUUGCUAACUACAAGGGAAAAAAUAGGGCUGACUCCAUGGCCCAGCAGUUAAAGGAG
Molecule: long non-coding RNA, 298 nt
Organism: Tupaia belangeri chinensis (Chinese tree shrew)
Lineage: Eukaryota; Metazoa; Chordata; Mammalia; Scandentia; Tupaiidae
Exons: 3
Source: RefSeq, a predicted model, not a curated record